CAACCGCAGCCCCGCACGUACGUAGGGAACUAGCGCAUCCUCCUGCCCUCCUCCCAAAACUUCGCUUAUCCCGAAUCGCCUCCUCCCAAAAUCACGACACAGAUCGACCCUUGCCCUCCCAGGACCGCAAGUCUCGCGUCCGUAACCUGUACCUUCCAUGGCCGCUUGAUUUCCUGUCUCCUGGGCAUCCUACAUGAGGUCCGAUGCCUCGCUACAUGAGGUCCUCUGUCCGCCACACCGGCAGCGGCGGCCGGUCAAUUUCCGCAGAAGAAGUUGGAUGCUGCAAGCCGUAACAAGUGGCUGGACGAAUUCUGCAUCGAACACUGCUGCUUGCCUGCGACCAAGAUGUGCUGCAAGUCAACCAUUGGUGACAGUUGAAGAAUAAGCAAUCAAGCUUGAAGUUUAGAUGAUGGGAGAUUAGCAGAUGGCAGCGGCGAGGUUGUACUUAUCCUGUUCGAAAAGCUUCUUGCUGAUUGCCUGCUUCUUUUUAUCAAACUUAAGUGUUAAGUCAGACUUAUCAGUGUAUCAUGUGUGCUAAACUUAAUUUUUGAGUCGAAUCUGCUAUGUUUACUGUCAUUCUUGUCUA
Triticum dicoccoides is the source of this 586-nucleotide long non-coding RNA. RefSeq lists it as uncharacterized. The transcript has 2 exons. The record is from RefSeq and is a predicted model, not a curated record. NCBI's taxonomy places the organism in Eukaryota, Viridiplantae, Streptophyta, Magnoliopsida, Poales, Poaceae.